GUAGGCUGAAACUCGCCUACAUGAAGCUGGAAUUGCUAGUAAUCACAGGUCAGCAUACUGUGGUGAAUACGUUCCCGGGCCUUGUACACACCGCCCGUCACACCAUGAGAGUUGAGAAUACUCGAAGCCCAUGUCAAAGUGGUCGAAGGUAGGCUUGAUGAUUGGGGUGAAGUCGUAACAAGGUAGC
This 187-nucleotide ribosomal RNA is filed under the name uncultured bacterium. RNAcentral describes it as "partial 16S ribosomal RNA". It matches the Rfam family "Bacterial small subunit ribosomal RNA", at positions 1300 to 1500 of the family's 1533-position model. The record is from RNAcentral.